GGUGUUAUGUCUGGGCAGAAGAUCUCUGCUUACAGUGUCUGGGGGGAUCAUGCGGCAGCCCCGGUGACUGGAAGCAGCGUUGACUUCUGGGCAGUUCUGUCUCC
MicroRNA precursor from Gallus gallus (chicken), 104 nucleotides. NCBI's taxonomy places the organism in Eukaryota, Metazoa, Chordata, Aves, Galliformes, Phasianidae. The record is from Ensembl.